GAAAGUAGAUUUAUUUUCCUAUUAGGUUUAGGAGACUUAAAACUCUAUAAAUACUCCUAAACUCUAUAUAUUUCAGAUCAGAUUCUACAGAUUUUGAGUUCAGUUUUCAGUUGAUAAAAAUCUUCCUUGUUUUCACUCUCUAUGUAUGGAGUAUGUUUCUAUUUGAGUUUCACGUUGCGUCAAUAUACAACCUUGAUUCAUUUCAAUGGUACCUGAAAGCCUUGAAUAGUUCUAAAAUGAUCCAACUUUAACCAACUAGAGCAUUGAAGUUCCAACAACCCUAAAGCAUGAAGAUUCAUUUCAAUGUACUACGAAUUUAAAAUAGGACAAGUACAUCACCCAAAGAUCAUUUCUAUAAGAAAUAAGAUAGGGUUUAUGAUAAAAAAAAUUCCAAACCUUUUCAACCUUUUGCAAUUCUAGCCAAUUCUUUUUUUGGGGGUGGGCAAUUUUAGCACGAUUUUAAUGGGUCAUUGUUUUUUUAGGCUGUGGUCAAAAUUGACUUAAAUCAGCUAACAUGACAUGUUUUUGAGUUUUGACCACUGAUCUCUCUCAAUUUUGACCACAUCUAAGAUACAAUAAACCUUUAAAAUAAGCUAAAAU
Molecule: unclassified non-coding RNA, 600 nt
Filed under: Hevea brasiliensis (rubber tree)
Lineage: Eukaryota; Viridiplantae; Streptophyta; Magnoliopsida; Malpighiales; Euphorbiaceae
Source: RNAcentral